CGCGGGUUAGAGUAGUGGUCAUGCUCGCCAGUCUCAUAAUCUGGUACUUCCCAAAAGGAAGUCAGGCGUUCGAAUCGCCUACCCGCAA
This 88-nucleotide transfer RNA is filed under the name Bacilli bacterium. RNAcentral describes it as "tRNA-Ile". It matches the Rfam family "tRNA". From Rfam's summary of the family: Transfer RNA (tRNA) molecules are approximately 80 nucleotides in length. Their secondary structure includes four short double-helical elements and three loops (D, anti-codon, and T loops). The record is from RNAcentral. RNAcentral also lists the same sequence under 1 other name. Lineage: Bacteria; Bacillati; Bacillota; Bacilli.